This 253-nucleotide ribosomal RNA is filed under the name uncultured bacterium. Its description in RNAcentral is "partial 16S ribosomal RNA". It matches the Rfam family "Bacterial small subunit ribosomal RNA", at positions 524 to 776 of the family's 1533-position model. The record is from RNAcentral.
UACGUAGGGUGCAAGCGUUGUCCGGAAUUAUUGGGCGUAAAGAGCGUGUAGGCGGCCCGGUAAGUCCGCUGUGAAAGUCCAGGGCUCAACCCUGGGAUGCCGGUGGAUACUGGCGGGCUAGAGGUCGAUAGGGGUGAGCGGAACUCCAGGUGGAGCGGUGAAAUGCGUAGAUAUCUGGAGGAACACCGGUGGCGAAAGCGGCUCACUGGAUCGAAACUGACGCUGAGGUGCGAAAGCUAGGGUAGCAAACGGG